This 73-nucleotide transfer RNA is filed under the name Marsilea mutica. Its description in RNAcentral is "tRNA-Arg". It matches the Rfam family "tRNA". From Rfam's summary of the family: Transfer RNA (tRNA) molecules are approximately 80 nucleotides in length. Their secondary structure includes four short double-helical elements and three loops (D, anti-codon, and T loops). Further hydrogen bonds mediate the characteristic L-shaped molecular structure. tRNAs have two regions of fundamental functional importance: the anti-codon, which is responsible for specific mRNA codon recognition, and the 3' end, to which the tRNAs corresponding amino acid is attached (by aminoacyl-tRNA synthetases). tRNAs cope with the degeneracy of the genetic code in two manners: having more than one tRNA (with a specific anti-codon) for a particular amino acid; and 'wobble' base-pairing, i.e. permitting non-standard base-pairing at the 3rd anti-codon position. The record is from RNAcentral. Lineage: Eukaryota; Viridiplantae; Streptophyta; Polypodiopsida; Salviniales; Marsileaceae.
GGGCUUGUAGCUCAGUGGAUUAGAGCACGUGGCUACGAACCACGGUGUCGGGGGUUCGAAUCCCUCCCUGCCC